Saccostrea cuccullata (small rock oyster) is the source of this 487-nucleotide long non-coding RNA. RefSeq lists it as uncharacterized. NCBI's taxonomy places the organism in Eukaryota, Metazoa, Mollusca, Bivalvia, Ostreida, Ostreidae. The record is from RefSeq and is a predicted model, not a curated record. The transcript is spliced from 3 exons.
AGUAGGUCGGACGCCAUAUUGCCCUACGUAGUGUCUCGACAGUAAACAGACUUGUACGUCACUCUAAUAACAAGUUGGUACCUAGCCCCCCUUUGAGUACCUUGUAGACCCCACCCUCCAGCACCCCCGGGGACUGACCGGAAGCUGAAUGGGGUGAAAUACCUUCACUCGGAGACGGACGAGGAAUCCGAUGAAGUCUCGGCUGUUCGAACCUUCUUCGCAGACACAGAAAACAGUACAGGAAGGAAAAACAGAUGAAAUACUAUGUGUAUGAUUGAGAAAUCUAAGCAUCAAGCCUCCCAGUGACAAAGACUUAGCCAGUCCUGUCAAGAUAAAGCACCUUAAGGACACUGACACCUCGGUAUUAAGGUACGACUUGUACCCAAGACUGCGAACCAGUUAAAUGUGAACAUGUGUUCUCGACAUACACCGUCUGCAGUCACGAUAGCCUAACCGGACACUUUCCAGCUAAAAUAUCUGUCAUUUA